Acomys russatus (golden spiny mouse) is the source of this 107-nucleotide small nuclear RNA. The record is from RefSeq and is a predicted model, not a curated record. NCBI's taxonomy places the organism in Eukaryota, Metazoa, Chordata, Mammalia, Rodentia, Muridae.
GUGCUCACUUCAGGAGCAUAUACAUUAAAAUUGGGUCAACACAGAGAGACCUAGCAUGGCCUCUGCACAAGCAUGUCAUGAAGAUUAAUGGAUUGUUCUGGAAGCUU